Molecule: ribosomal RNA, 101 nt
Filed under: Mannheimia haemolytica
Lineage: Bacteria; Pseudomonadati; Pseudomonadota; Gammaproteobacteria; Pasteurellales; Pasteurellaceae
Description: partial 16S ribosomal RNA
Rfam family: Bacterial small subunit ribosomal RNA
Source: RNAcentral
GCUUAACCGAAAGGGGGGCGUUUACCACGGUAUGAUUCAUGACUGGGGUGAAGUCGUAACAAGGUAACCGUAGGGGAACCUGCGGUUGGAUCACCUCCUUA